AUUGAACGCUGGCGGCAGGCCUAACACAUGCAAGUCGAACGGUAACAGAAAGCAGCUUGCUGCUUUGCUGACGAGUGGCGGACGGGUGAGUAAUGUCUGGGAAACUGCCUGAUGGAGGGGGAUAACUACUGGAAACGGUAGCUAAUACCGCAUAACGUCGCAAGCCCAAAGAGGGGGACCUUCGGGCCUCUUGCCAUCGGAUGUGCCCAGAUGGGAUGAGCUAGUAGGUGGGGUAAAGGCUCACCUAGGCGACGAUCCCUAGCUGGUCGGAGAGGAUGACCAGCCACAUGGGAACGGAGACAGGGUCCAGAGUCCUACGGGAGGCAGCAGUGGGGAAUAUUGCACGAUGGGCGCAAGCCUGAUGCAGCCAUGCCGCGUGUGUGAAGAAGGCCUUCGGGUUGUAAAGUACUUUCAGCGGGGAGGAAGGGAGUAAAGUUAAUACCUUUGCUCAUUGACGUUACCCGCAGAAGAAGCACCGGCUAACUCCGUG
RNAcentral lists this ribosomal RNA (490 nucleotides) under uncultured bacterium. Its description in RNAcentral is "partial 16S ribosomal RNA". It matches the Rfam family "Bacterial small subunit ribosomal RNA", at positions 30 to 507 of the family's 1533-position model. The record is from RNAcentral.